RNAcentral lists this long non-coding RNA (3748 nucleotides) under Nasonia vitripennis (jewel wasp). RNAcentral describes it as "uncharacterized LOC100115813". The record is from RNAcentral. Lineage: Eukaryota; Metazoa; Arthropoda; Insecta; Hymenoptera; Pteromalidae.
AAGAAGUUAAAAAAACUCUUUCAAUCAGUAAACAUCGCAGCAAACGAUUCAAGAAGAUACGAAGAUGAAAUUCAUUUUCAGUGUUUGUCUUGUUGUUACAUCUGUAGCAGUUCUAAGUUUUGCCACAGAGUUAUCAUUAGAUAACCAGGAGUUUCAGCGCUCCAAACGUGCGGUUGCUCUGGAAUAUUGUCCAGAUAAGUCAACACCUGCUGAAUGUAAAGAGUAUGCUAAAGAAGUUUCAAAAAUAAUGAAUUAUUGUCAUAACUUUGUUAUCAGCAAGAACACAAUUCAAUGGCAAAGCUGUGGAAUAGUCAGUUGCGAAGGUUUAAAGGUUAUCCCUCAAGAUUUAAGCAAACCUUAUCCGAACUGCUGCCAAAGAUGUAAAGUAUAAACUGAGUAGAUGAAGAGGAAGUGCUAUUCGUAUGCUAUAAAAAAGCUAAUAUACAUAAAACAAAAGAAAUAAAAAAGUAUACCGUUUAGUGAUAUAGUUUUGAUUUAUUUUUAUUAUAAACUGUAACAAAGAAAUUUUUCUCGAUAUUAAUGAUAAGUUUCUAUAUAAAUGUGUAUUUGGCGAAUAAAUUGGAGAUUAUAAGGUCAAUGUAAAUUAAGCUUUACAAAAACAGUUCAUAAAAAGAGCUUUUUACAGAAAUAAUUGUACUUGAAGAAGUAUAGAAAAAUAGAAAGCUACAAAAUAAAUGUUUGAUAUCAUCAAGAAUGCUUAAUAAAAAGUGUAAUUAUAAUAACAAGCAUAUUAUAAAAUACAAAAAUGUACUAAUUUAAAUCAAUUUCGUGGUAAUACAGAGGUCGUCUGAAUUGAACAAAUAUUUUUUUAUCAGUGCUACUUUUUUACAUAAAAAGAUAGUCUAAAUUCGUUUGCACUUGCGCAAAUACAUUAUGAAUGUCAUUUGUCACGUGUUCCUUCGUGUUCAAUGUUAUUAAAACCUUUUCAAAUCUCAUCGGUCAAAUGCUGAGUAAAUAAAUCUUAUUUUAUGACAUAUUCAGUGUUGUACAAAUAAUUUUUUUCAUUUCAUUUUAACAUGUAAAAGUUCACAAUAAUAAACCAAAGUAAGAUUUAAAAAAGCAGGUUAAGCAUAAUAAGUAUUAUAAUUAUUUACGGCGAUAAGGAAUAUAGGAAAUUUAUUUUAUUUAUACUAAUUAAAAUUAUUAUUACUUUAUAAGUAAUUUUUUCCUACUUAAUAUGGUUCUUGCAUUUAGAUGCUUUCUAUCUCCUUUUAUUUUGGGCAUUUUACUUUCAGAACUGUGUUUCACCGACUGUUUACUAUCAAUUCAAAACAUGGGCCAUCUAUCAAUACGGAAGACGCGGAUGUCUCUCCGAAAUUCCAAACAAUAAUGAAUAUUUAUAAAACAAGAUAAUAAAACUCUAUUUUAAAAAAAAAACAGAGAAAAAAUCAAAAUAGCAUUAAACAUUGAUUUAAGACCUGAUCGGUCGAACAAGUAGCUAGUUGAUCUUAGCACAAGUGCGCAAGUCUUUCAACAGGAAAUUCCCACUACGAUUCUGCGGGCAAUAUCAGAGAGUCCACCACGUGCAAUUUACGCAGACAGUAGACACAAUCUUAUCUUCUUUACAGACACACGGGAACAAGCUUGUUUUGCGCAAGGUAGGGAUGAACCCGUUAAAAUGUAUAUAAGCGUCUUCGAGAAAGCAGAUGGUAUAGUAAUCAAACUCGUAUAGCUGUGUUAACUACUAGUAUCAGAAUGAAGUUCGCGAUUGUCUUCUGCGUUUUGGCGCUCGUCGUCGCUCUUGCAACUACUAAGCCCGCAGAAAAUACUACGCCGAAGUGGGAUCUUGAAACUUGUGAGGAACGAGCAGUUAUAGCUAGGCGUGAAAGCAACCGCUGCGAAGAUUACCAAUGCAUUAUGCACUCGCAUGGACUGGUUUUGGACGGAGUAAACUGCAAAGAUCACCCGACUGAUUAAUAAGGAUUCAUAAAUGGAGUGAAAUCAUCUACUAAUAAGAAGUUGACAGAAAUACCUUUAAAUGUCUAUUACGUCUACUGUCAUCAUAAUUCAUUUGUUUACUGCAUGCGUCUAUUAGUUACUAACUAUAAUUUAGCUAUUAAUUGAUUUUUUUAUUAAAGAAUAAUUAUAUUCAAAUAUGUUAAAAUGAUUUUGCGUUCCUCAUCAUUUAAUAUUUCCAUGACUUUUUUAUCAAAAUUUAAAACAUCGGUGAUUUGCAAAUGCUGAUAAAAUAGUUCAUUAAAAGUUGUUUAAUAUUCAUCGAAAGUUGGAUCGGGGAUAAUCGGAUAAUUCUGCGAAGUGCCGAUAACAACUGCAAUUCAAUACUAAAACUUUGUAUAAAACUUUAACAAAGCAAUACGACAAUUAAUUUCUCAACCGUGUUAUACCUUCAACUAAAAAAGUUGUGAACAGAAAGUCUAUAUAUAAGUGAAACCGACCCAUCUUUAGACAGUAUACGCGUUUUGUUGAACAGAGCAUUUAAAAUAUUUUUGAACUGCUGAAUAAUGCAAAAUUUUAUCCUAAUUUUAGUUAUAUUUGUAGUGUCAAUAUUUGCACAAUCCGAAGAUGACAUGCGACCAGAAUAUUGUAAUCCUUCAUCAAUCGAUCCAACAAUAUGCCAAUUACGAAAAUGCAAUGAAGAAAAUACACGCAUAUCUUUUGAAUCAUGCCCCAUUAUAAGUUGUUCUAAGGUUAUAGGAACAAGAGGAGAUCCUAGUAAACCAUACCCAGAUUGCUGUAUAACACCUAUUUGUGAUUAUUUCACAUUUCAAAGAAGUCCCACAUAUUACAGAUCAAACAUUUAAAAUGAUCAAAACGAGUAAAAAUAAAAAGUUGUUUGAAUAAGCAAACAUCAACCUUGGUUUUUCGUCGAUAGUAACGAUGUCAGAUAUAUGUGUGGAAUGUAAAUAAAAAAAAUUAGCAUAUGAUGUUCAGUAUCUAAAAUUACCAGUUUAGGCCUAUUAAUUUGAAAUAAUCUUUUGUAAUACAAUAGAAACAUAUGUACACGACACACACAAGAUAGUAUUCAAAUCAAAGAUCGUGCCUUGAGAGAUAAUGCGCGAUGACUAUAAUUACUUAUUCAGCAUCGGUAUUUCCUGAUCUCUCUUCAUUCGUUUCAUAAAACCAGAUAAAAUACUCCCAUGUACCUUCAUCGAAUCAUAUUUUUAAAGAUGUGGUAAUAACAAGCGACUCAUGCAUCAGUUUUUAGUCGAAUCAUCAAUUCAAGGAGUUAAGUGGGAGAACCGAGAUAUAAGAGGAGAAGACUAUAUAUUCCUAGUUUUAAUAUCAAACAGUGUUUCGAAAGACUUAUUAAGAGGAACUACAGAAUACUUCCUUACGAUAUUUAUUAAUUAAGAUAGUAGACAUGAAGUAUUUCGUAAUCCUUUGCCUAAUAGCAGCGUCAACUUUUACAGCAGUUAAAUCAAAGUCUGUAAAUAUUAAUAUAGAUACAAAAGAAGCCGAGUUAAAAGAAGAGUAUUGUGACUUUCCGAAGUACAGCCCAUUCAAGAGGGAAUGCGCAUUAUUCAAAUGCAGCGAAGACCGCACCAGAGUAUUAGCAAUACCGUGCCCUUACUCGCCAUGUCCAGCUAAAUUAAACUCCGGCCAAGAAAAAUUUUCCAAGCCGUAUCCAGAGUGUUGCGCGCCACCCGUAUGCAACUGAUUCUGAAACUUUCGUUUACUUAUUAAUUUGUCAUUGUUUGCGUUGUAAAUAUCAAACAUUAUAACUUUAUAAAUAAUUAUAUAACUUCAACUAAAUAGAAAAAUUGAA